Peptoniphilus sp. ING2-D1G is the source of this 1531-nucleotide ribosomal RNA. It matches the Rfam family "Bacterial small subunit ribosomal RNA". Lineage: Bacteria; Bacillati; Bacillota; Tissierellia; Tissierellales; Peptoniphilaceae. The record is from Rfam.
AUAAUCGAGAGUUUGAUCCUGGCUCAGGACGAACGCUGGCGGCGUGCCUAACACAUGCAAGUCGAGCGAUGAACCGACCACAGAAGCCUUCGGGCCGAAGCGGAAGGGAAUUAGCGGCGGACGGGUGAGUAACACGUGAGUAACCUGCCUUUGACACGGGGAUAGCCAAGGGAAACCCUGAUUAAUACCCGAUAACAUUAUCAAUUCGCAUGAACAGAUAAUCAAAGCGAAGCGGUCAAAGAUGGACUCGCGUCUGAUUAAUUAGUUGGUGAGAUAACAGCCCACCAAGAUGACGAUCAGUAGCCGGCCUGAGAGGGUGAACGGCCACAUUGGAACUGAGAAACGGUCCAAACUCCUACGGGAGGCAGCAGUGGGGAAUAUUGCACAAUGGGGGGAACCCUGAUGCAGCGACGCCGCGUGAGCGAAGAAGGAAUUCGUUUCGUAAAGCUCUGUCCUAUGGGAAGACAAUGACAGUACCAUAGGAGGAAGCCCCGGCUAACUACGUGCCAGCAGCCGCGGUAAUACGUAGGGGGCGAGCGUUGUCCGGAAUCACUGGGCGUAAAGGGUUCGCAGGCGGAUAGGAAAGUCUAAAGUAAAAAGCGAGGGCUCAACCCUCGUAAGCAGUAGAAACUAACUAUCUUGAGAAGUGGAGAGGUAAGUGGAAUUACUAGUGUAGCGGUGAAAUGCGUAGAUAUUAGUAAGAAUACCGGUAGCGAAGGCGACUUACUGGACACUAACUGACGCUGAGGAACGAAAGCGUGGGUAGCAAACAGGAUUAGAUACCCUGGUAGUCCACGCCGUAAACGAUGAGUGCUAGGUGUUGGGAGGAAUCUCAGUGCCGCAGCAAACGCAAUAAGCACUCCGCCUGGGGAGUACGUGCGCAAGCAUGAAACUCAAAGGAAUUGACGGGGACCCGCACAAGCAGCGGAGCAUGUGGUUUAAUUCGAAGCAACGCGAAGAACCUUACCAGGGCUUGACAUAUAGCGGAACAAUGUAGAGAUACACAAUCCUCUUCGGAGGCCGCUAAACAGGUGGUGCAUGGUUGUCGUCAGCUCGUGUCGUGAGAUGUUGGGUUAAGUCCCGCAACGAGCGCAACCCCUACCAAUAGUUGCCAGCAUGUAAAGAUGGGAACUCUAAAGGGACUGCCGAUGACAAAUCGGAGGAAGGUGGGGAUGACGUCAAAUCAUCAUGCCCUAUAUGCCCUGGGCUACACACGUGCUACAAUGGUCGGAACAAAGAGCAGCAAUGGAGCAAUCCCAAGCAAAUCUCAAAAAGCCGAUCCCAGUUCGGAUUGUCCUCUGCAACCCGAGGACAUGAAGUCGGAGUUGCUAGUAAUCGCAGAUCAGAAUGCUGCGGUGAAUGCGUUCCCGGGUCUUGUACACACCGCCCGUCACACCAUGGGAGUAAUCAAUACCCGAAGCCUGUAAGCCAACCAUGCAAAUGGGAGCAGCAGUCGAAGGUAGGGAUAAUGACUGGGGUGAAGUCGUAACAAGGUAGCCGUAUCGGAAGGUGCGGCUGGAUCACCUCCUUU